Molecule: ribosomal RNA, 496 nt
Filed under: Neisseria shayeganii
Lineage: Bacteria; Pseudomonadati; Pseudomonadota; Betaproteobacteria; Neisseriales; Neisseriaceae
Description: bacterial SSU rRNA
Rfam family: Bacterial small subunit ribosomal RNA
Source: RNAcentral
GAGUUUGAUUAUGGCUCAGAUUGAACGCUGGCGGCAUGCUUUACACAUGCAAGUCGGACGGCAGCACAAAGAAGCUUGCUUCUUGGGUGGCGAGUGGCGAACGGGUGAGUAACGCAUCGGAACGUACCGAGUAGUGGGGGAUAACUGCCCGAAAGGAUGGCUAAUACCGCAUACGCUUUGAGAAGGAAAGCGGGGGAUCUUCGGACCUCGCGCUAUUCGAGCGGCCGAUGUCUGAUUAGCUAGUUGGUGGGGUAAAGGCCUACCAAGGCGACGAUCAGUAGCGGGUCUGAGAGGAUGAUCCGCCACACUGGGACUGAGACACGGCCCAGACUCCUACGGGAGGCAGCAGUGGGGAAUUUUGGACAAUGGGCGCAAGCCCGAUCCAGCCAUGCCGCGUGUCUGAAGAAGGCCUUCGGGUUGUAAAGGACUUUUGUCAGGGAAGAAAAGCUUGAGGCUAAUACCCUUGAGUGAUGACGNACCUGAAGAAUAAGCNCCG